CUAGCCUCUCCUUCUUCUUACUGCGGAGGGCUUUUAAAGAGGGGAUGUUUGCAUGUGUGUGCCUCUACACAUUCUCCCACCAAGAAGUUAAACCUUCUCACCGGAGAUGGACCCAUCAUAUACUGCAUCAUGUAAAGGAGCUUUGUUUGAAGAAUAAUCGGCAUGCAGCACAUGUUCGACUCCCUUGACUUAUGUAAUGAUUAAGUGCUAUGCUUGCAGUGAACUUGAUGCACAGAAAUUUGUUGUUUUCUGCAUAGAAAUUCCAAUUCUCAUUCUACAACUGGAUAAAAGUGACACAUAAUUGGACAGCAUUGGUCUUGGAAAUUCCACAGCGGGUCUUCAGUCUCGUGUCAAUUGAGCCUGACUUAAAGCUUAUCAAACCAAAUCAUGCAUAAACUUACAAAUUUGUCAGCCAAUUAAUUUAAACAAUGGAUGCAUCGAGAGAAGCUAAAAUGAAACAAGAUAAAAAUUAAAUUAAUAUUUUAUGGGAUGCAUCACUAUACAGUAUUGUUGGGAAGAAGAGAAUACAUGCAUCUUCAGGAUACUGCUUGCCUCCUUUCCUGUAACGAACUACUCUUCUUUUCUGCGAAUUACAAUUUGAUACAUAUGUAAAAAUAAUUCAUCAAAAACACAAAAAA
Molecule: non-coding RNA, 638 nt
Organism: Prunus mume (Japanese apricot)
Lineage: Eukaryota; Viridiplantae; Streptophyta; Magnoliopsida; Rosales; Rosaceae
Source: RefSeq, a predicted model, not a curated record